Molecule: ribosomal RNA, 301 nt
Filed under: uncultured bacterium
Lineage: Bacteria
Description: partial 16S ribosomal RNA
Rfam family: Bacterial small subunit ribosomal RNA
Source: RNAcentral
CAGCAGCCGCGGGAAUACGUAGGUCCCGAGCGUUGUCCGGAUUUAUUGGGCGUAAAGCGAGCGCAGGCGGUUAGAUAAGUCUGAAGUUAAAGGCUGUGGCUUAACCAUAGUACGCUUUGGAAACUGUUUAACUUGAGUGCAGAAGGGGAGAGUGGAAUUCCAUGUGUAGCGGUGAAAUGCGUAGAUAUAUGGAGGAACACCGGUGGCGAAAGCGGCUCUCUGGUCUGUAACUGACGCUGAGGCUCGAAAGCGUGGGGAGCAAACAGGAUUAGAUACCCGCGUAGUCCCUGUCUCUUAUACC